This 460-nucleotide RNase P RNA is filed under the name Opitutaceae bacterium. Its description in RNAcentral is "RNase P RNA component class A". It matches the Rfam family "Bacterial RNase P class A". Rfam says of the family: Ribonuclease P (RNase P) is a ubiquitous endoribonuclease, found in archaea, bacteria and eukarya as well as chloroplasts and mitochondria. Lineage: Bacteria; Pseudomonadati; Verrucomicrobiota; Opitutia; Opitutales; Opitutaceae. The record is from RNAcentral.
CUCGGAGCCAGGUUGUCGCUCCGGGGUUCUUUGAUCCACAAGGCGCGGGUAAUGCCGCGCCGGCACAUACACCCCGGAGAGGAAAGUCCGGACACCACAGGGCACGAUGCCGUGCGAGGCUCACGCCAAGCACGGGCGUGGCGGGUCAAUCCCGCCGCGACGGACAGUGUCACAGAAAACAAACCGCCGGACGGGCAACCGUCCGGUAAGGGUGAAAAGGUGGGGUAAGAGCCCACCGCGCCUCCGGCAACGGCGGCGGCACGAAAAACCCCUUCCGGUGCAAGGUAAAAUAGGCAGCUGGGCGGCCCGUCCAUUAGCUGCGGGUAUAUCGCAUCGGAGCGCGUGACGCUUGGUCGCAAGAUCGGCGCGCAGCGCACCGGCAGGCCUUCGGGCUUGAGAGAAAUGACGACCACCGCGCCGCAAGGCGCGCGACAAAAUCCGGCUUACGGCUCCGGGACUA